GGCUCAGUAGAUCAGCGGUCGGAUCGCCGCUCUCAUAAGGCGGAUGUCGGGAGUUCGACUCUCCCCUGAGCCA
RNAcentral lists this transfer RNA (73 nucleotides) under Candidatus Pacearchaeota archaeon RBG_13_36_9. Its description in RNAcentral is "tRNA-Met". It matches the Rfam family "tRNA". From Rfam's summary of the family: Transfer RNA (tRNA) molecules are approximately 80 nucleotides in length. The record is from RNAcentral. Lineage: Archaea; Nanobdellati.